GUCUACAGCCAUACCACCCUGAACAUGCCCAAUCUUGUCUGACCUUGGAAUCUAAGCAGGGUCAGGCUUGGUUGGUACUUGGAUGGGAGGCCACCUGGGAAUAUCGGGUGCUGUAUGAG
RNAcentral lists this ribosomal RNA (119 nucleotides) under Castor canadensis (American beaver). Lineage: Eukaryota; Metazoa; Chordata; Mammalia; Rodentia; Castoridae. The record is from RNAcentral.